This is a non-coding RNA of Mus caroli (Ryukyu mouse), 1278 nucleotides long. NCBI's taxonomy places the organism in Eukaryota, Metazoa, Chordata, Mammalia, Rodentia, Muridae. The record is from RefSeq and is a predicted model, not a curated record.
ACUUGAGGGAGAAUAUAUAAACAUGAGAACAGUAGUCUGAAAAAUGCAUCACAACUUCACUGUCAUUCCAAGGUCAUGUCCAUCAUUUGUUUGUUUGUUUGUUUCAUGGAAGCAUCUGUGUAAUACAAAGGUAAACUGUGUAGGGCUCUAGGUGUUUUGGUGGUAUCCAUGAAGGUACAACUGCAUAGGCUUGUAACCUUGGAAACACUACUGCCAAGAAUCCUCAUGUUUAUUUUCCCUCACAAUGCCAGGCAAAGAGUGAGACUGUACUGCUAAAAGAUACACUGUAUCUGUCACCUUCUGCUCUCUCUCUCCAAACACCCCAUCCUGGGCUGAAAUGGGUGUGUUCUCUGAGACUGAUUUUCUUAAUUAGAGUCAAAUUCAAGGCAAUCUUUGGUGGAUUCUGGUAAUAAUUUAACCUCUGAAGUUGAUCAGCAUUCUGUCCUCUGAGUCACCUUCCAGCCCUACCAGUUUAAUUUUAAAAUAAGGAGACUGCCAGGAAGUGCUUUAUUCUUCUUCCAAAAUUCUCUUUUGGUAUUUUGCAUCCAUGAGUCACACAUAAUGAUUGCAGAAGCCAAAAGAAUGAAUUAGAUUCCCUAGAACUGGAGUUGCAGACAUUGUGAGCCACUUUAUAAGGGAAAUAUAGAACACACAAGCAAGAAGGAGCCACCCUUUUUGAGAUUUCUCAAGAAACCACCAGUCUCAGCUUUCCUGUCUCAUUUUCAGUGCUUGGUUCCAAAUGAGAUGACCCCUGAGCAUGGCAGAACAUGGCUGUAACCCCAGCACUAGAGCUGGUGACAUUUGCUUGGAUCGAAGAACUCCAGCAGAACUGGAAUCUGAUACCUACUCAUAAUCCUGCAGUUGUGAUAUGAGGAUUGUAUGGAUGGACUGUAGGAUUGGACCCAGACAAGAGAAGUAAUGCCCAAGAAGGUCAGUGUGCUGGUUAAUGUAUUUGCCUGAUGAAUGCUUUAAAAUCUGUCCCAAGAAUACUUUAAGAAGAUGGUUCGGUGAUUGGAAUUCUUUCUACAAUGAAUCUCUAAGAAGUAAAAUAUAUAAGGGGGGAAUUAGAGAGAAAAGAUCACCUAAAAUAGAUAUAUAGAAUUUAAUCUAAGGAAUGCACCUCUUGCUCUUACUGUCCAGUUUAAGCUGUGGGUGCAAAAUUCUAUAUCUUCCCCCUUCCACUACUUAUAAUUCUAAUCUUCAUUUACUUUCCAUCCAUUAUUUCAUCAGUUUCUAAUUUUUUUUUAUCCAAUAGUUACCCAAUAAAAUCACAGUACU